This 884-nucleotide long non-coding RNA is filed under the name Nicotiana benthamiana. RNAcentral describes it as "long non-coding RNA (NBEN_LNC005717)". The record is from RNAcentral. Lineage: Eukaryota; Viridiplantae; Streptophyta; Magnoliopsida; Solanales; Solanaceae.
UUCAGAGAAUCUCAUAUGAACCCUAACCCGCCAUCCCUUUUCUCCACAACCUUAAACCCGGCGGCGCCACCUCCCAUCACCCUCAAAAUCACACCACAGAACCACCUCACUCCCCUCUUUCGAAAUCCUAACCCCAUUCCCUCGAAUAUGGCUGAAACCUGUCAAAUAUUGGAUCUGAGUUCAAACCCUAGAAGCUAAGUCCCAUCCAAGUGCAUGCAAGGUCAGUUUCCCAGUUUCUUGUGAUUGUUCAAGGUCAACUUUAUCACGAAAAAAUGUCAUUGGCCUGUUCUUGACAAAGAACAGUUGAUUGACAUUAUUUCAUAGUUUGAUUGGGAAAAUCGGUCGAGUUCGAGUUUGAAUGUGUAAGUUUUUUUUUUGUUUAUUCUUGAUAUUUCUUCUUUUUCUCGUCUUUGUCUUCUAUGGUACUUAAACCUUCCUCUGCAAUUAGCUUUGAACCUAGUUUUUCUCUCCUUUUUAGUUUAAUUUACUUCUUUAUAUUUGUUUCCUUCCAUUGCUAAUAACUGUUGCCUGAUUCUGAUUGCUCACUUUCGUUAGGUUUUAAGCUUUAAAAUUUCAAAUUCCCCCCUCUUUUUCUCUUACUAAUCUUAUAGUGUAGUAUUUUCUGUUUAAACUUUAUAUGUUUUUUUUCUUUGUUAAUUGAUUAUCUAUAGUAGUCAAUUGUGAGCCCGACUAGUUAAAAUUAACUCAUGUUUAAAAUCAGAAGUGAUUGUGCUUGCCUUUGAGGUUUUGGAUUUGUUCCGAUGGUUUCGUUUGGUUAUUUCUGAGUUUCCAUACCCUAAUGAGUAACUAUAGUCAUCUUUGACCUAGUUAAAGGGGCUGGUUAGUUAGACUUUGGGUUAACCUAGCCUAAGCUAAUAAUUGAG